CCUACGGGUGGCAGCAGUGAGGAAUAUUGGUCAAUGGGCUUACGCCUGAACCAGCUAAGUCGCGUGAGGGAAGACUGCCCUAUGGGUUGUAACCCUCUUUUGUCAGGGAGCAACGCCUGCUACGUGUAGCCGGACUGGGAGUACCUGAAGAAAAAGCAUCGGCUAACUCCGUGCCAGCAGCCGCGGUAAUUCGGAGGAUGCGAGCGUUAUCCGGAUUGAUUGGGUUAAAGGGGUGCGUAGGCGGAAUGCCAAGUCAGCGGUAAAAUCGCGGGGCUCAACUGCGCUACGCCGUUGAGACUGGCGUUCUUGAGUGGGCGAGAGGGAUGCGGAAUGCGAGGUGUAGCGGUGAAAUGCUUAGAUAUCACGAAGAACUCCGAUUGCGAAGGCAGCUCACUGGACUGCAACUGACACUGAGGCUCGAAAGUGUGGGUAUCAAACAGGAUUAGAUACCCGAGUAGUC
RNAcentral lists this ribosomal RNA (460 nucleotides) under uncultured bacterium. Its description in RNAcentral is "partial 16S ribosomal RNA". It matches the Rfam family "Bacterial small subunit ribosomal RNA", at positions 338 to 795 of the family's 1533-position model. The record is from RNAcentral.